CAGGAUCCUUUUCCCAGGAAGAUUAAACACAAGGACAAGGGUAACGACAAAACGGUGAAUGUUUUGUUCCCAACUUUCCUUGUAAAAAGGGCAAGGUUCGAAGGAAUGCAAAGAAAGAUGGAAAAUUCUAUAAACGGGGUUUGUAUUGAUGUUUUUUUGUGUAUUAUUGGAGCUGGAAAAAGAAAUAUCGGACCAGAAAAAACUAGUUUCGGUAAAGGAAAAGGAUCUUUUCAUAAUAAUUGAAUUGCAUAGUGGCAGGGGCGGUGGCCGCGAUGGAGAGGUGGCGCCGCCGGUGUAUGCAAAGUGGGAGAGGGGGGAGACAGAAAGAUUUUGUAAUGGUGAAACGAGAUUUUCUCCAACCUUG
Molecule: long non-coding RNA, 364 nt
Filed under: Gossypium barbadense (sea-island cotton)
Lineage: Eukaryota; Viridiplantae; Streptophyta; Magnoliopsida; Malvales; Malvaceae
Description: long non-coding RNA (GBAR_LNC011164)
Source: RNAcentral